Molecule: long non-coding RNA, 243 nt
Filed under: Elaeis guineensis (African oil palm)
Lineage: Eukaryota; Viridiplantae; Streptophyta; Magnoliopsida; Arecales; Arecaceae
Description: long non-coding RNA (EGUI_LNC074290)
Source: RNAcentral
UUAGGGUUUAAGGUUCUAGUGUAUUCUGAUCACGCGGUUUUAAAAUAUCUGCUCUCAAAGAAACAUACUUAACCAUGAUUGAUCAGAUGGAUCCUUCUACUUCAAGAAUUUGAUCUAAAAAUCUGAAACAAGAAGGAUUCUGAAAAUAUGGUCGCUGAUCAUAUUUUUAGAAUCUUAGUUGAUCAUACGAUGGGUACAGAUGAAGUAAAAAAAAAUUUCUGAGAAUAAUUUUUUGCAAUCUCC